Molecule: ribosomal RNA, 424 nt
Filed under: uncultured bacterium
Lineage: Bacteria
Description: bacterial SSU rRNA
Rfam family: Bacterial small subunit ribosomal RNA
Source: RNAcentral
GGGGAAUCUUGCGCAAUGGGCGGAAGCCUGACGCAGCAACGCCGCGUGUGGGAAGACGGCUUUCGGGUUGUAAACCACUUUCAGGGGGGACGAAGCUUCCGAGGUUAAUAGCCUACGGGGUGACGGUACCCCCAGAAGAAGCCCCGGCUAACUACGUGCCAGCAGCCGCGGUAAUACGUAGGGGGCGAGCGUUGUCCGGAAUCAUUGGGCGUAAAGCGCGUGUAGGCGGCUUUGUAAGUCUGGUGUGAAACCUUGGGGCUCAACCCCAAGCCUGCACUGGAUACUGCUUAGCUUGAGUCCGGGAGGGGAGAGCGGAAUUCCUAGUGUAGCGGUGAAAUGCGCAGAUAUUAGGAAGAACACCGGUGGCGAAGGCGGCUCUCUGGAACGGUACUGACGCUGAGACGCGAAAGCGUGGGGAGCGAAC